Molecule: non-coding RNA, 45 nt
Filed under: Schistosoma mansoni
Lineage: Eukaryota; Metazoa; Platyhelminthes; Trematoda; Strigeidida; Schistosomatidae
Source: RNAcentral
AUCUAUCUGACGAGUCCCAAAUAUGACGAAACGCGCAUCAUGGAU